GCGGCUGUGGUCCAGUUGGUUAGGAUUCUGCACUGUCACUGCGGAGAUCGCGGGUUCAAGUCCCGUCAGUCGCGCCA
RNAcentral lists this transfer RNA (77 nucleotides) under Escherichia coli. Its description in RNAcentral is "tRNA-Asp". It matches the Rfam family "tRNA". From Rfam's summary of the family: Transfer RNA (tRNA) molecules are approximately 80 nucleotides in length. Their secondary structure includes four short double-helical elements and three loops (D, anti-codon, and T loops). The record is from RNAcentral. RNAcentral also lists the same sequence under 3 other names. Lineage: Bacteria; Pseudomonadati; Pseudomonadota; Gammaproteobacteria; Enterobacterales; Enterobacteriaceae.